AUGCUUGUUUCAGCAGCACAUAUGCUAAAAAUUGGAAUGAGACAAAGAAAAUUAACAUGGCCCCUGCACUGGCAAAUUCACGAAGCAUUCUAUAUAUAU
Molecule: small nuclear RNA, 99 nt
Filed under: Neogale vison (American mink)
Lineage: Eukaryota; Metazoa; Chordata; Mammalia; Carnivora; Mustelidae
Source: RNAcentral